AAUUCGCCCUUUAAUUGUGGGCUUGUAUGAACGGACGAACGAGAGUUUAUCUGUCUCUCUGGUAUUACUAUAAAUUAAUCUCCAGGUGAAGAAGCCUGCCUAAUUCUAAAGGACAAAAAGACCCUAAAGAGCUCCGUUAAUUUUAGUUAUAAUUCUUAAUACUACCUAUAUAAUCUUUACUCUUAAACUUAACUUAACUGGGGCGGUUAAGGAAUACUUUUAAUCUUCCAUUUAACUACACCAGACCAACACGUCACCUAUCUAAUUGACCCUUGUAAGACCACAGAAAUAAGCUACCUUAGGGAUAACAGAUUAAUCCUCCUCAAGAGUACACAUUGACAGGAGGGAUUGACACCUCGAUGUUGGCUUAGGAUUACUUGAGGGUAGCAGAAGCCCUCCAAGUAGGUUUGUUCAACCUUUAAUUUCCU
This 428-nucleotide ribosomal RNA is filed under the name Thelepus australiensis. RNAcentral describes it as "partial large subunit ribosomal RNA". It matches the Rfam family "Bacterial large subunit ribosomal RNA", at positions 1963 to 2597 of the family's 2925-position model. Lineage: Eukaryota; Metazoa; Annelida; Polychaeta; Terebellida; Terebellidae. The record is from RNAcentral.